GGCUUUCCGUGGCUCCCACUGUUCUCUCAAGGUUCAUAUCAGUGAAGAAAAAGCAUUCAGAAUGGAAAACACUAUUGUUCUGACACAGGACAGACAAAAUCCACCGAACUUUCCUUGCAUGGGAUUAGAACACAGUGGACAGGAGAUACAGUCAGCAUAGUCAAUUAAAUGCUCCCCCUUCGUAUCCAAUGGACAAAUGUUUACCCAUCUGGUUUGGCUUAUUAGCCAUGCUUGCUUAGACUGCUUACCCAGUUCCCAAGCUGUGAAAAAUAGACUUUUUUCUUAGCAAGGGAUGAAGUCGUGGAACAACAUCUUACUUUUGCUCACUGUUUCCCCGUUCCUACAAGGUCCUGAGUUCAACUACCAGCAAAAUCAUAGUGGCAUAAAACCAUGUAUAAUGGCAUUAAACUUCCACUUCUGUUGUGUCUGAGAGUUACAGAUACUCAUUGAAAACAAAUAAAAUAAAACUUUAAAUAAAAAAAUAAAAGUUUACUUA
Rattus norvegicus (Norway rat) is the source of this 496-nucleotide non-coding RNA. The record is from RefSeq and is a predicted model, not a curated record. Lineage: Eukaryota; Metazoa; Chordata; Mammalia; Rodentia; Muridae.